Molecule: ribosomal RNA, 1206 nt
Filed under: Microbacterium oxydans
Lineage: Bacteria; Bacillati; Actinomycetota; Actinomycetes; Micrococcales; Microbacteriaceae
Description: bacterial SSU rRNA
Rfam family: Bacterial small subunit ribosomal RNA
Source: RNAcentral
CUAUUCAGGCUGUGGUGAAGUAUGGUCACAUGCUGACGGUAGCGCUCAGAGAGGUGAACCGGCACAUUGGGACUGAGAACCCGCAGACUCUACCGGAGGCAGCAGUGGGGAUAUGCACAAUUGGGCGCAGCUGAUGCAGCACGCGCGUGAGGGACGACGGCUUCGGGUGUAAACUCUUUAGCAGGGAAGAAGCGAAAGUGACGGUACUGCAGAAAAAGCGCCGGCUAACUACGUGCCAGCAGCCGCGGUAAUACGUAGGGCGCAAGCGUUAUCCGGGAAUUAUUGGGCGUAAAGAGCUCGUAGGCGGUUUGUCGCGUCUGCUGUGAAAUCCCGGAGGCUCAACCUCCGGCCUGCAGUGGGUACGGGCAGACUAGAGUGCGGUAGGGGAGAUUGGAAUUCCUGGUGUAGCGGUGGAAUGCGCAGAUAUCAGGAGGAACACCGAUGGCGAAGGCAGAUCUCUGGGCCGUAACUGACGCUGAGGAGCGAAAGGGUGGGGAGCAAACAGGCUUAGAUACCCUGGUAGUCCACCCCGUAAACGUUGGGAACUAGUUGUGGGGUCCAUUCCACGGAUUCCGUGACGCAGCUAACGCAUUAAGUUCCCCGCCUGGGGAGUACGGCCGCAAGGCUAAAACUCAAAGGAAUUGACGGGGACCCGCACAAGCGGCGGAGCAUGCGGAUUAAUUCGAUGCAACGCGAAGAACCUUACCAAGGCUUGACAUAUACGAGAACGGGCCAGAAAUGGUCAACUCUUUGGACACUCGUAAACAGGUGGUGCAUGGUUGUCGUCAGCUCGUGUCGUGAGAUGUUGGGUUAAGUCCCGCAACGAGCGCAACCCUCGUUCUAUGUUGCCAGCACGUAAUGGUGGGAACUCAUGGGAUACUGCCGGGGUCAACUCGGAGGAAGGUGGGGAUGACGUCAAAUCAUCAUGCCCCUUAUGUCUUGGGCUUCACGCAUGCUACAAUGGCCGGUACAAAGGGCUGCAAUACCGCGAGGUGGAGCGAAUCCCAAAAAGCCGGUCCCAGUUCGGAUUGAGGUCUGCAACUCGACCUCAUGAAGUCGGAGUCGCUAGUAAUCGCAGAUCAGCAACGCUGCGGUGAAUACGUUCCCGGGUCUUGUACACACCGCCCGUCAAGUCAUGAAAGUCGGUAACACCUGAAGCCGGUGGCCCAACCCUUGUGGAGGAGCCGUCGAAGGUGAUUCGUUCCA